RNAcentral lists this ribosomal RNA (519 nucleotides) under uncultured eukaryote. Its description in RNAcentral is "SSU rRNA". It matches the Rfam family "Eukaryotic small subunit ribosomal RNA", at positions 1161 to 1698 of the family's 1831-position model. The record is from RNAcentral.
AGGGCACCACCAGGAGUGGAGCCUGCGGCUUAAUUUGACUCAACACGGGAAAACUCACCCGGCCCGGACACUGGAAGGAUUGACAGAUUGAGAGCUCUUUCUUGAUUCAGUGGGUGGUGGUGCAUGGCCGUUCUUAGUUGGUGGAGUGAUUUGUCUGGUUAAUUCCGAUAACGAACGGGACUCUAGCCUAUUAAAUAGAUCGUUGGCUUACAAACGCCGGCGAGACUUCUUAGAGGGACAGGCGGCGAUUCAGCCGCACGAAACAGAGCAAUAACAGGUCUGUGAUGCCCUUAGAUGUCCGGGGCCGCACGCGCGCUACACUGAAGUGAUCAGCGUGCAUUUUGAAACCUACUCUGUCAAGAGUGGGGAACCCAAUGAGCCUUCUUCGUGAUUGGGAUAGGGGAUUGUAAUUAUUCCCCUUGAACGAGGAAUUCCCAGUAAGCGCGAAUCAUAAGUUUGCGCUGAUUACGUCCCUGCCCUUUGUACACACCGCCCGUCGCUACUACCGAUUGAAUGUUU